GACAGCAGCGUGUGACCGCCAGCCCCACCGCCACGGGAGAGCACGGACCCACACUGCACUAGCAGCACCUCACAGACAAGACGCCUGUUCAAACAUGGUUUAAGGUUAUAGACAAGCUACAAGCCAACAAGGACAAAGUGAUGGUUAUGCACGCUGCUUUCAUGCAUUAUGUGCACAAUACAUGGCACAUUAAGUCUCGAAGAUCUUAUCCAUCUACGGGUAUUCUUGUGCUUAUAUACGCUUUGCACAUUUGUGAUGAGGUAAAUGCGUUUGGCUUUGGUGCAAACAGUAAAGGCACCUGGCACCCCUAUUUCGAACAAACACCCAAGUCUUUGAAGCGCACUGGUAAACACAGUGGCGGGAUUGCGCUUAAAACCAUUUUAGAACUUCACGAAAGGGGGCUGAUUGAUCUAUACACGGGGUGGUGAAAAGGAUAAUGACAUUAAGUAACACAAUUUUUUAUUGAUAUUCACUUGUAUUCAUGAUAAAUACAUCUAUUAUAUUAAUUAACUCUUCGUUCAAAAUGUGUUUUGGCUCUGAAAUCCUUUGUGUAUUUUUUUUUUAACUCAAUGAUAUUGAUUUUAUUGAUAUUGAUUUUAUGAUUUUGCAUCUAUCGGUUUGGUCUGUUUGUGUACGCAAGCAAGCAACAAACAUUUUUUAUGUAAUUUAAUCUCAUGUUAACUUUAAAUGUUUAUUGUAAAUAAACUGUAAUAAUAAAUAAA
This is a long non-coding RNA of Cyprinus carpio (common carp), 722 nucleotides long. RefSeq lists it as uncharacterized. Lineage: Eukaryota; Metazoa; Chordata; Actinopteri; Cypriniformes; Cyprinidae. The record is from RefSeq and is a predicted model, not a curated record. The transcript has 4 exons.